RNAcentral lists this ribosomal RNA (253 nucleotides) under uncultured bacterium. RNAcentral describes it as "partial 16S ribosomal RNA". It matches the Rfam family "Bacterial small subunit ribosomal RNA", at positions 524 to 776 of the family's 1533-position model. The record is from RNAcentral.
CACGGGGGGAGCAAGCGUUGUUCGGAAUCACUGGGCGUAAAGGGCGUGUAGGCGGCCAGGCAAGUGAGAUGUGAAAUGCCCCGGCUCACCCGGGGACCGGCAUCUCAUACUGCUUGGCUUGAGUACGGGAGAGGAUGUGGGAAUUCCUGGUGUAGCGGUGAAAUGCGUAGAUAUCAGGAGGAACACCGGUGGCGAAGGCGAACAUCUGGCCCGAUACUGACGCUGAGGCACGAAAGCGUGGGGAGCAAACAGG